GACGAACGCUGGCGGCGCGCUUAACACAUGCAAGUCGAGCGAUGAAACUUUAACAGAACCCUUCGGGGCGAAGAUAAAGUGGAUUAGCGGCGGACGGGUGAGUAACACGUGAGUAACCUGCCUUAGACAUUGGGAUAGCCUCGGGAAACCGGGAUUAAUACCAAAUAAAAUCAUAAUGACACAUGUCAUAACGAUCAAAACUCCGGUGGUCUAAGAUGGACUCGCGUCCCAUUAGCUAGUUGGCAGAGUAAAAGCCUACCAAGGCGACGAUGGGUAGCCGGCCUGAGAGGGUGAACGGCCACAUUGGAACUGAGAAACGGUCCAAACUCCUACGGGAGGCAGCAGUGGGGAAUAUUGCACAAUGGAGGGAACUCUGAUGCAGCGACGCCGCGUGAACGAAGAAGGCUUUCGAGUCGUAAAGUUCUUUUAUAUGGGAAGAUAAUGACGGUACCAUAAGAAAAAGCCCCGGCUAACUACGUG
Molecule: ribosomal RNA, 480 nt
Filed under: uncultured bacterium
Lineage: Bacteria
Description: partial 16S ribosomal RNA
Rfam family: Bacterial small subunit ribosomal RNA
Source: RNAcentral